UCCAAUGGACCGGAGGUCGUGAGGUGCGUAGAUGCGCUGAAACAGCUCAAGAGUUUUCCGAUAACGUACGAUGUUUUGGUAUCCACUCAGGUAAUUAAGUUUCCUUUAUUGUAUGUAUGCCUUCAAAUUUUAAUUCCUUUUUUAGUUUCUUUCCUUUUUUUAUGAUAAAAUCCCUUAUUUUCAAUUUCAAUAUAUGUUAUUUUUGGUCUUGUCGAUAUUUCCUAAGCUAAUUGUUAAUUUGUUAUUGUCAUCAAUCAAGCAUGCGUUGGAUGAAAUUGUGUAUGCGCUGUUUAAAGCUGCUAAAUGGGGUUUGGGAUUUGCUUGUAGCUGACGGAUAAUUUUUAGAAUUAGGAUCUGUUUUUGGGUGUAAAAUAGUAGACUAUGUGCAAUGCUUUCAUUUUGGGGAAAGGAAUAAUUUCCCUCUUUUGCCCACUUUAUAGACAAAAUCUAUCAGCUUUUUUUUUGGCUUUCUUGCAAUCAUACAUACUCUCGGCUGUACAAAACUUAAUUCCAGUUUUAUCAUAUCAUUCAUUUACCUUUGUUAAUCCUAUCAAGUAAAUACAUACUCAGGUAAAUGCUUGGUUUUCUUGUGCUUGCGUCUCUUUGGAGUCAUCAGGCUUAUGAAUUAAAAAGAGUCAGUUUGGCAUUGUUUGAACUAUUGAUGUGAAAAACACUAUCUCAAAUAUGUUAGUUAGAAGCUAUUAAAAAUUAAUUUUAUAUCAGAUUUUACGUGUUUUAGUUAUAAAAACUUCAAAAUAAAUAGCUUCUUCAAACUUUAUUUUUUCAACGACAUCUGAAAUGGUACUUUUUCCAAAAUGUAGGUUUCAAUCUUAAUGCCAAAUAGGCACUACGUAUCAAUAACUUACAUAGUUUUAUGGCACUCUCACAAUUAUUUUGGCUCCCUUCCAUGGUGCAGUAACUACUGUGGCUGCUGAAAAGUGAAUUGCACUAUUUUCUCUUUGUUGUUUCGCCAUUGUUUUUAUGGAUGCAAAUGAUAACAAGUGAUUUAUUAUAGAAUUGCCACGCCACAUGUGUGAUGCUUUGCGUGCUCACUUGUUUUAGUAUUAGCUCUUUUGGUUGCCGCUUUGUCUUCUUCUUCAAUGAUAUUGUUGCAAAACAGAGAUCAGGUGCAGUAUCAAACUAAAGUGUACAUGCAUGUAGAUAAUCCUUGUCUACUUUAUAAAAUAGAAGCAAAAAACCUAGAUGCCACUUUACCUACCAGUUAUUGGUUGUUACCCAACUCACUUUAGCUUGCUACCUCUUUAUAAUGCUAGUUGCUUUCUCUUGUUAUUUUAGGUCGGGAAACGACUUCGACCUCUCACAAAGCAUCCUAGGGAGAAGAUCCAAACUGUGGCCUCUGACUUACUAGAGAUUUGGAAAAAGAUAGUUAUUGAUGAGACCACCAGAAAGAAAAAUGGUGCCAUUGAUAAUAAAAGUUCUGGGAAAGCUGAGGUUUCGAAGGUAGAGACCGUUAAAGUUGAGAAGAUUCAUAAAGCAGGCACGGUUAGGGUUGAAAAAAUUGAUCGUGAAGAAACUAUCAAGGUUGAAAAGAUAUCCAAGGAGGAGAAACAUGUUUCUAAUGGGAAGAAACCAUCUCAAGCUCCUAUUGCUCCACCAAAGCUUACUACAUUGGUCAAAUGUAAUGAUGCUUUACGUGACAAAGUUCGUGAACUUCUUGUGGAGGCCUUGUCUAAAGUUGCUGGUGAGGUUGAUGAGGAUCUUAGGGAUGAAGUAAGUGCAUGUGACCCAAUCCGAAUUGCUGUAUCUGUAGAAUCUGCAAUGUUUGAAAAGAUGGGUCGGUCAAAUGGAGCCCAAAAGUUCAAGUACAGAUCCAUAAUGUUCAACAUGAAGGAUCCAAAUAACCCUGAUUUGAGGAGAAAAGUACUUCUUGGACAGGUCCAACCAGAGAGGCUCAUCACAAUGACCCCUGAAGAAAUGGCAAGCGAACAGAGACAAUUGGAAAAUAACCAUAUUAAAGAGAAAGCAUUAUUUGAUUGUCAGCGAGGUGGUCCACCAAAAGCCACAACUGAUCAGUUCAAGUGUGGUCGUUGUGGUCAGCGCAAGACCACUUACUAUCAGAUGCAGACUAGGAGUGCAGAUGAACCUAUGACAACGUAUGUAACUUGCGUAAACUGCAACAACCAUUGGAAAUUCUGCUAGUCUGGACUUAGGUAGGACUGCCCUUCUGUGGAACAAAUAUGGAGCUGAUUAUCUGCUAAGCUCCACUUUACUUGUAAUGAGUUUGUGAUAAAAUGUCUGGACGAAAAAAUCUUUCAUUAAUAUCCAUUUGCUGUAGGAAAUGCGUCUUCUAAUGUAGGAUUGUGCCAGAUCUUAACAAGGGAACCAUCUGCUCAGCACAUCGUCUUGUGUUAUUUUUCAACUUUGUUAGUGUCUAUUACGUUUUUUACUGUUAGUUUAUAAUGAUGGUUUGUACUAGUUAUGAUGAAUGUGGACUGCAAUGUUUUUCCCAAGCAUGCAAGAACUCAGCACAAGUCUUCCAGCUUCAUGGCAUGCAAUGUUUUUCCCAAGCAUCCUUGGAUUUGAAAUCGUAGCUGGAACACAUGAAAGUGGGACAGCGGAGGCUACAUGCUUCUUCGGCUCAUUGAAAUCAUAAUGUGCAUUGAGUAGAUGACGAUUUGCUUUGUAUUUAAAAUAGAUGGUUUGUAUCUUCGUUUCCAAAAGCUUUGCCAUUAUAUCUCAAAUUGAUGGAUUCUGAUGA
This 2719-nucleotide unclassified non-coding RNA is filed under the name Hevea brasiliensis (rubber tree). Lineage: Eukaryota; Viridiplantae; Streptophyta; Magnoliopsida; Malpighiales; Euphorbiaceae. The record is from RNAcentral.